UCAGUUCGCUAUUCCACCAUUCUCCCACUCCCUUGUUCGGGUCUGGCACAGGCGCACAUCAAUCAGAUCUCGUGUUUAUUGUCUCAUCAUCUCCCAAACUUCACGGGCAUAUGGGCAGUGUAGGCACAUAUGAUCCGCCGUCUCUUGCACUUGAUCACAAAGUGCACAUUCCAAUCUGCACGGCCAAUCCCUAGCAAACAGGCAAAAAAUUUGUGUUUGCCCUCUGCCAAUGCAAAGAAUUUAUGUUAAAGAUGCUCACACAUAUACUUCUAAUGCAUGAUCACAGAUUGUCAUCUAAGGGGAUAAUGAUGAUUCCAUCCUUAUUUUCUCAAGUAUAUAUAUUUUCUUUUGCCAUAUUAGUAGGAGUUGGUGGAGCCUAAACAAAUGUUCGAGCGAGGAGUAAAGGGUUAGUAGGUGAAAAUUUGAGCAAACAUGCAUAAAAAUGCAUUUUUAUCAAUGUUAUUUAUGUUGAAUAUUUUGCGUUGAAGAUUUAGGAAAUAAGUCCUUCUUUGUCGCGGUGCACAAGUUUACCCAAAUACACAAAGUUUAUAUCGCUAUGGUUUCUUUUCCACUACAUUGUGAAUAUAGAUCACAUAAAAUUGGCUACCAAUUCAACUUUACCUUAAGGGCAUAUAUCCUGUUAAUCAUCAUCUAUUGUGUCAUUUUUAUCUGCCGUAGACAACUCAACGGCAAUAUCUAUAUAUAUGUAAUUAAUUGGGUUUAUAUUUUUGAGCAACUGCAGAAUUAUCUAGGAUGGGAAUGUGGGAUGACCCCAUAUCACGUGGCCAUUUCGUGGAUUAUGGUGUGGUUACAUGAUUAUAUCUUACCAUUUUCCUUGUGAAUAAUCAACUCACU
This 855-nucleotide long non-coding RNA is filed under the name Setaria italica (foxtail millet). RNAcentral's name for it is "long non-coding RNA (SITA_LNC002050)". Lineage: Eukaryota; Viridiplantae; Streptophyta; Magnoliopsida; Poales; Poaceae. The record is from RNAcentral.